Molecule: ribosomal RNA, 427 nt
Filed under: uncultured bacterium
Lineage: Bacteria
Description: bacterial SSU rRNA
Rfam family: Bacterial small subunit ribosomal RNA
Source: RNAcentral
UGGGGAAUCUUGCGCAAUGGGCGAAAGCCUGACGCAGCGACGCCGCGUGGGUGAUGAAGGCCUUCGGGUUGUAAAGCCCUGUGGGGAGGGACGAAUAAGUUCGACCUAAUACGUCGAGCGAUGACGGUACCUCUUUAGCAAGCACCGGCUAACUCUGUGCCAGCAGCCGCGGUAAUACAGAGGGUGCGAACGUUGUUCGGAUUUACUGGGCGUAAAGCGCGUGUAGGCGGUCUCGCAAGUCGGGUGUGAAAGCCCAGGGCUCAACCCUGGAAGUGCAUUCGAUACUGCGAGGCUAGAGUCCCGGAGAGGAUGGUGGAACUCUCGGUGUAGAGGUGAAAUUCGUAGAUAUCGAGAAGAACACCGGUGGCGAAGGCGGCCAUCUGGACGGUGACUGACGCUGAGACGCGAAAGCGUGGGGAGCAAACAG